UAGGGAAUCUUCCACAAUGGACGAAAGUCUGAUGGAGCAACGCCGCGUGAGUGAUGAGGGGUUUCGGCUCGUAAAACUCUGUUGUUGGAGAAGAACGGGUGUCAGAGUAACUGUUGACAUCGUGACGGUAUCCAACCAGAAAGCCACGGCUAACUACGUGCCAGCAGCCGCGGUAAUACGUAGGUGGCAAGCGUUGUCCGGAUUUAUUGGGCGUAAAGCGAGCGCAGGCGGUUUUUUAGGUCUGAUGUGAAAGCCUUCGGCUUAACCGGAGAAGUGCAUCGGAAACCGGGAGACUUGAGUGCAGAAGAGGACAGUGGAACUCCAUGUGUAGCGGUGAAAUGCGUAGAUAUAUGGAAGAACACCAGUGGCGAAGGCGGCUGUCUGGUCUGCAACUGACGCUGAGGCUCGAAAGCAUGGGUAGCGAACAGGAUUAGAUACCCUGGUAGUCCAUGCCGUAAACGAUGAGUGCUAAGUGUUGGAGGGUUUCCGCCCUUCAGUGCUGCAGCUAACGCAUUAAGCACUCCGCCUGGGGGAGUACGACCGCAAGGUUGAAAC
Molecule: ribosomal RNA, 555 nt
Filed under: uncultured bacterium
Lineage: Bacteria
Description: partial 16S ribosomal RNA
Rfam family: Bacterial small subunit ribosomal RNA
Source: RNAcentral